Molecule: ribosomal RNA, 482 nt
Filed under: uncultured bacterium
Lineage: Bacteria
Description: bacterial SSU rRNA
Rfam family: Bacterial small subunit ribosomal RNA
Source: RNAcentral
CUCAAAGGAAUUGACGGGGGCCCGCACAAGCAGUGGAGUAUGUGGUUUAAUUCGAAGCAACGCGAAGAACCUUACCAGGUCUUGACAUCCGAUGCAUAGUACAGAGAUGUAUGAAGUCCUUCGGGACAUCGAGACAGGUGGUGCAUGGUUGUCGUCAGCUCGUGUCGUGAGAUGUUGGGUUAAGUCCCGCAACGAGCGCAACCCUUAUUGCCAGUUACUACGCAAGAGGACUCUGGCGAGACUGCCGUUGACAAAACGGAGGAAGGUGGGGAUGACGUCAAAUCAUCAUGCCCUUUAUGACCUGGGCUACACACGUACUACAAUGGCGUUUAACAAAGAGAAGCAAUACCGCGAGGUGGAGCAAAACUCAAAAACAACGUCUCAGUUCAGAUUGCAGGCUGCAACUCGCCUGCAUGAAGGCGGAAUCGCUAGUAAUCGCAGGUCAGCAUACUGCGGUGAAUCCGUUCCGGUCGACGCGGCCG